RNAcentral lists this ribosomal RNA (468 nucleotides) under uncultured bacterium. RNAcentral describes it as "partial 16S ribosomal RNA". It matches the Rfam family "Bacterial small subunit ribosomal RNA", at positions 28 to 507 of the family's 1533-position model. The record is from RNAcentral.
GACGAACGCUGGCGGCGUGCUUAACACAUGCAAGUCGAACGGAAAGGCCCUGCUUUUGUGGGGUGCUCGAGUGGCGAACGGGUGAGUAACACGUGAGUAACCUGUCCCUGACUUUGGGAUAACUUCAGGAAACUGGGGCUAAUACCGGAUAGGAGCUUUUGCAGCGUGGUGGGGGUUGGAAAGUUUCGGCGGUUGUGGAUGGACUCGCGGCUUAUCAGCUUGUUUGUGGGGUAGUGGCGUACAAAGGCUUUGACGGGUAGCCGGCCUGAGAGGGUGACCGGCCACAAUAGGACUGAGCUACGGCGCAGUCUCCUACGGGAGGCAGCAGUCGGGAGUAUUGCACAACGGGCGGAAGCCUGAUGCAGCAACGCCGCGUGCGGGAUGACGGCCUUCGGGUUGUAAACCGCUUUCGCCUGUGACGAAGCGUGAGUGACGGUAAUGGGUAAAGAAGCACCGGCUAACUACGUG